This 447-nucleotide ribosomal RNA is filed under the name uncultured Streptococcus sp. RNAcentral describes it as "bacterial SSU rRNA". It matches the Rfam family "Bacterial small subunit ribosomal RNA", at positions 932 to 1382 of the family's 1533-position model. Lineage: Bacteria; Bacillati; Bacillota; Bacilli; Lactobacillales; Streptococcaceae. The record is from RNAcentral.
GUGGAGUAUGUGGUUUAAUUCGAAGCAACGCGAAGAACCUUACCAGGGCUUGACAUCCCUUGAAGCAGCUAGAGAUAGCUGUGUCCUUCGGGACAAGGAGACAGGUGGUGCAUGGUUGUCGUCAGCUCGUGUCGUGAGAUGUUGGGUUAAGUCCCGCAACGAGCGCAACCCCUAUUGUUAGUUGCCAUCAUUCAGUUGGGCACUCUAGCGAGACUGCCGGCAAUAAACCGGAGGAAGGUGGGGAUGACGUCAAAUCAUCAUGCCCCUUAUGACCUGGGCUACACACGUGCUACAAUGGUUGGUACAACGAGUUGCGAGUCGGUGACGGCGAGCUAAUCUCUUAAAGCCAAUCUCAGUUCGGAUUGUAGGCUGCAACUCGCCUACAUGAAGUCGGAAUCGCUAGUAAUCGCGGAUCAGCACGCCGCGGUGAAUACGUUCCCGGGCCUU